This 440-nucleotide ribosomal RNA is filed under the name uncultured bacterium. RNAcentral describes it as "partial 16S ribosomal RNA". It matches the Rfam family "Bacterial small subunit ribosomal RNA", at positions 338 to 795 of the family's 1533-position model. The record is from RNAcentral.
CCUACGGGAGGCAGCAGUGAGGAAUAUUGGGCAAUGGAGGCAACUCUGACCCAGCCAUGCCGCGUGAGUGAAGAAGGUUUUCGGAUUGUAAAGCUCUGUCGGAUGUGACGAUGAUGACGGUAGCAUCUAAAGAAGACCCGGCUAAAUUCUUGCCAGCAGCCGCGGUAAUACGAAGGGGGCACGCGUUGUUCGGAAUUACUGGGCGGAAAGGCAGUGGAGGCGGUUUAGUAAGAUCGUGGUUAAAUCCCAGGGCUUAACUUUGGAAUUGCCAUUAUAACUAUUAGACUAGAAUUACAGAGAGGAUAGCGGAAUACCCAGUGUAGAGGUGAAAUUCGUAGAUAUUGGGUAGAACACCAGUGGCGAAGGCGACUAUCUGGCUGUACAUUGACGCUGAGGCUCGAAGGUGCGGGUAGCAAACAGGAUUAGAUACCCUGGUAGUC